This 467-nucleotide ribosomal RNA is filed under the name uncultured bacterium. RNAcentral's name for it is "partial 16S ribosomal RNA". It matches the Rfam family "Bacterial small subunit ribosomal RNA", at positions 28 to 507 of the family's 1533-position model. The record is from RNAcentral.
GAUGAACGCUGGCGGCGUGCUUAACACAUGCAAGUCGAACGGAAAGGCUCCUGCUUGCAGGGGUACUCGAGUGGCGAACGGGUGAGUAACACGUGGGUGAUCUGCCCUGCACUUCGGGAUAAGCCUGGGAAACUGGGUCUAAUACCGGAUAGGACCACAUUUUGGAUGGUGUGGUGGAAAGUUUUUCGGUGUGGGAUGAGCUCGCGGCCUAUCAGCUUGUUGGUGGGGUAAUGGCCUACCAAGGCGUCGACGGGUAGCCGGCCUGAGAGGGUGUACGGCCAAUGGGGAAGAGAGAAAGGAACCAAAGACAGGCGGGGGAAGGGAGGGGGAAAUGGGGAACAGGGGGCAAAGGCUGAAGGAAGGGUCGCGGGGGGGGGGGUGAGGGCUGUGGGGGUGAAAGUUCCUAUGGCGGGGGAAAAGGGUUUUUUGUGACGGUACAGGGAGAAGAAGCCCCGGAUAACUACGUG